AUUGAACGCUGGCGGCAUGCCUUACACAUGCAAGUCGAACGGCAGCACGGGUGCUUGCACCUGGUGGCGAGUGGCGAACGGGUGAGUAAUACAUCGGAACGUACCUUAUCGUGGGGGAUAACGCAGCGAAAGCUGUGCUAAUACCGCAUACGCCCUGAGGGGGAAAGCGGGGGAUCGCAAGACCUCGCGCGAUUAGAGCGGCCGAUGCCUGAUUAGCUUGUUGGGGGGGUAAAAGCCCACCAAGGCGACGAUCAGUAGCUGGUCUGAGAGGACGAUCAGCCACACUGGGACUGAGACACGGCCCAGACUCCUACGGGAGGCAGCAGUGAGGAAUUUUGGACAAUGGGGGCAACCCUGAUCCAGCAAUGCCGCGUGAGUGAAGAAGGCCUUCGGGUUGUAAAGCUCUUUUGUCAGGGAAGAAACACCGGCUCUAACACAGUCCGGGAAUGACGGUACCUGAAGAAUAAGCACCGGCUAACUACGUGCCAGCCGCCGCCGUAA
This 501-nucleotide ribosomal RNA is filed under the name uncultured bacterium. RNAcentral describes it as "partial 16S ribosomal RNA". It matches the Rfam family "Bacterial small subunit ribosomal RNA", at positions 29 to 523 of the family's 1533-position model. The record is from RNAcentral.